This is a non-coding RNA of Lolium perenne, 3582 nucleotides long. NCBI's taxonomy places the organism in Eukaryota, Viridiplantae, Streptophyta, Magnoliopsida, Poales, Poaceae. The record is from RefSeq and is a predicted model, not a curated record.
GUAGAGUACAUAGCUAACUGGUCAUCCAGUCAGUACAUAAUUAGCACCAACCACAACGACGCAGCCAUUACCGCCGUGACGUUUCAUGAGCAGAAUUAACUUCCAUCGGCGCAAUUAUGCCGCCAUCGACCAACAAAUUGUGAGGGACGCUAGCUGGGAUUUGCAUUAAUCGUGCAACAAAUGAGAGCAAAUCUUGCUAGCAAACACAUACUCCUACUACCUCGUAGUACGUAGUAAAUAAAUCCACGAUUUCUGGUUAUGAUACCAAUGAGCCUCCAAAUUAUUCAACUCCGAGAUUGUUGCAAUUUAUUUCGAUCUGACGUUUCAAUGGCUGGCUCCGAAGAUAUCGAGAGAGGAUUUAGAUGGUGAGUGAGAUGAGAUCCUCUUCUUCCCAUCCACCGUCUCCACUCCACCACCGCAUUCCCCUCCAAUCUCUCCAUCCGGCCUCCACCACAACCAUGGAUGCCGGCAACGCCCCCCUCUCCCUCUCUCUAUUCCACCGCGCGCGAUGAGAUCCCCGGCUCGGCGACCACCUGCACCGCCGGCGAGCGCGCCGCUGGUGGCCGGCUGCUUCUCCGCCCGGCCCUAUUCAUCCUCGUCCCCCACCUCGGAUGGCCUCCUCCAAUGGCGCCAGCAGCUUCGGGGGCGUUUCCGGUGGGGGGACAGAGAGCUUGAGCUCGACCACUGCCUACUCGCACAAGGGGACGACCUCAGGUCAGGUACAUGCUCCACGACCAGACCAGCUCGUCUAGCCCCAUCUCAACCAAAAGAUGGAUAUCCCCUCGGUGGAGGUGACUGAUGACAGCCGCGAUGAAGCAAAUGCCACUUCAUUUGUAUCUUUCUGAUGCUGCAAGACUAUGCAUUAGUUUCAUGCUCAGGGUAAACCCGCUGCGUCUAAGUUGGCUGGAUUAUUUUCUUCGGACUUUUUUUGCAGGGGUCGGAACAUACGCAAUGUACAAAUACAGGCUAAGGUUAGAUGGAUUCGGAGAACCGUGCCAUCAUGGCCCAGUACAUGCCGUUGGACAGCUAAGGAGGAAACCAACAGCAUAUCGCGCAUGUUGGUGAUGAUAUCUCAGAGUGGCGCUGAUAUCUGAGGUCAGCUUUACAUAGGUCAAAACAAAGACACGAUUUGUACUAGGAGAGAAUAUUUGAUGCAUGAUUGUAGGACUGUUGUGUGUUGUGCACUCCCUCAUUUUUGAUAGACGAUGAACAACAUAAUCGUAAUCAUCACAGUUUACCUCCUUUGUAGGCUCUUGUGAUUCUUAUUCUUGCAGUUCUUAGUGUACAUAUUUAUUGCCCUAACAACUAAGAGUUACGCGUUGCUGGGGUACGUACCGACUCACAUACUAGUCAUAACUAGUCUCGAUUAGUGGUAGACUUAAUUAUCGACAUGUAGUCCAGUUGUAACUACUAAAAAAAUACUAAGUAAACAUGCUACUAAUAGUAGAUAUUGAUGGCAUAAGGGAGUGGAGAGCAGCUCAAGACACAGGUACAGUUGUGAAGGAGAUCAUGGGUGGAGGAAUGAAGCACAAUAGAUGGGUGAUAGGCGGCGGUGCCCGCACCGCCAGCGAGCUGGUGGUGGCCAGGUGAUAGGCGGCACAAGGGGAAGGGAAGCCAGAGGAAAGGCGGUUGGGUAGGAGGGGUAUUUUUCGAUCUGGAGGGGUAGAGUUUCACGGGUAGGCCUUUUUGUCCCGCCUCAGAACUAGUCGUUCGACUCAAAAACAGAGACUAGUUAUGUUUUAGAUAGGAAGAUAUGUCUUUAUAGUGCGGGCUUGGUUUGGUUGACUUACUUAAUGUCAACCUGAUCCAGUGAGUUUUCUUUCAUGUAGGAUUGACCUAGAGCUUGUUUUUGUUAUCUCCAUUUUGUCUUAUUUAUGCUUUUUGACAAAGUUAAAUUUGGUAUGUUGUUUGUUUGGGCUUGUCAUUGCGGGGAUUUCACCAUUACUCUAAAAAUGAGAUGGUUAUAUGAAUUCUUGUUAGGUCGGCAUCAUUUUCUUCUUUUAGUGCUACUCCCUUAUGUUGUUUCCUAUGUCAAAUUCUCACCAUCUGUGAGAUCUUUGUAAUUAUGCUUGCUGCUAUGAGAUAACUUUUUUUUUAAUAGUUGAUUAGGCCGUAAUUGCGAAUAUGCAUGCUGCUGCAAAAUUGAUGAUUUUUUUAUUGUCCAUUUCUCUACAAGCAUGAAUAUUAUAGUUCUCUGUACAAAUUCAACUUCCACCUCUGUUUGCAUCGCUUUCCUGAUAUUGUGGCAAAUUAACAAACGGAAGAAACCCGCUACAUGCGGGGGUAGCUGUGCAUCCCUUCUGCACUUGACACCUGUCCAAACGGUCAACGCCAAUAAUAACCCCCAGCGCGUUCUUAACUCGUUAACAACCGAUUAAUUAGCAUCGGCUCCUUCCUCGUAUCUGGUUCUAUCCCUUGUUUCUACAGUCGCCCGCGCGGCGGCGAUGUGAUCAGGAAGCCUCAUCCUCCGCCCUCCCACCAUGGACGCUGAAGGAGAUAGCGCUGAACGCCGGGACAAUGGAGGUGCAAGGUGCCUGGGAACGAUGUUGAACAGCGCUGGACACAGCGGCAUAAAAUCAUGCCAGCGAGAGCUCGAGGGGGCAGCUAUGCAGGUAUUGAUGAUGAGAAAAAACAACGGUAUUGAUGUCGAGAAAACAACAAAGGAGAUCGACUCGCUGAUGCAUGGGCGAGGUCACUGGUGACGGUGUUUGACUGGCUGGGGGGACGGGCUCUCUCUGGCCCAGGAUGUCGGCCGAGGAGCCACAGAGGACUGCUGCCGAAAGUGCAGUUGGAGUUGUUGCUAAUGGCAUCUUCUGGCGAUCUUGAGCUACUGCAUGCAUUAAAUGUUCCAAUUGUUUUACUCGUGCCAUGACAGAAAGGAAAACAACAUUAAUUGGCCUUUUAGCUUUGCCCGAUCAAACCAGAGUUCCAACUCAGUGCAAAACUUGUGCCUCAAGGCCUGGGCCUCAGAAGACGAUCGAGGAUAGACUCUGCUGGUGAGGAGCAUGCCCCUUGGAUCUUUUUCUGGUUCUUAUCGCCUCCCGGAGACAUGCAAUAUCUUGGUACCUAGGUGGUGCCUAAUCCACAUCAUUUCAGUGUAAUCCAAGUGUGGAUGGCAGCAUGAGAGGGGACCCAAGACAUUGACCUCCUAUUGUGGUCAAGGACCAAAUCGAGAGAUUUUUCUACUCACCUGUUGCAUGGCAAGUAUGGUCAUCCAUUACACAAAUGAUCCUGUUUCAGCACCAUGGCUAGAAACUGAUGAGAAGAUUUUUUUUGAAAAUAUAUUGAUAUAUGAAUGUUCAUGGUAGAAGUGAUGAGAAAAUUUUGCUCGUGUUAGAACCUGAUGAGAAGAUGUUGAUGUGAUAAUGCAAAAGUUUGCAGUGCAAAAUCAUGGUAGCUAUUGAUGAGAAGAUGUCUAAACUCAGUUGGUUUUCGUGUUGCUACCUGAGCACUCUUGAUGCAAUCUAAUGUCAGCUCUCAUGUAUAUUGUAGUUUCUCUCAUGUAUCUUUGAGCUUAACAUGGUACCUAGUAAAUGGAUGUUUCUUAGUUCUUGUGAGUUGAUUUAUUGUCGUGCAAUCAAA